AUUGAACGCUGGCGGCAGGCCUAACACAUGCAAGUCGAGCGGUAGCACAGGGAGCUUGCUCCUGGGUGACGAGCGGCGGACGGGUGAGUAAUGUCUGGGAAACUGCCUGAUGGAGGGGGAUAACUACUGGAAACGGUAGCUAAUACCGCAUAACGUCGCAAGACCAAAGAGGGGGACCUUCGGGCCUCUUGCCAUCAGAUGUGCCCAGAUGGGAUUAGCUAGUAGGUGGGGUAACGGCUAACCUAGGCGACGAUCCCUAGCUGGUCCGAGAGGAUGACCAGCGACACUGGAACUGAGACACGGUCCAGACUCCUACGGGAGGCGGCAGUGGGGAAUAUUGCACAAUGGGCGCAAGCCUGAUGCAGCCAUGCCGCGUGUAUGAAGAAGGCCUUCGGGUUGUAAAGUACUUUCAGCGGGGGGGAAGGUGUUGAGGUUAACAACCUCAGCAAUUGACGUUACCCGCAGAAGAAGCACCGGCUAACUCCGUGCCAGCCGCCGCGGUAA
Molecule: ribosomal RNA, 504 nt
Filed under: uncultured bacterium
Lineage: Bacteria
Description: partial 16S ribosomal RNA
Rfam family: Bacterial small subunit ribosomal RNA
Source: RNAcentral